UAGUGGAUGGCGUAUCUGUAUAUGGGGUUGGACCAUGGACUAAGUUGAAGAAUGAAAGGUUUCCAAUAUCAAUUCGAACAGCGGUGCAUCUUAAGGUAUAGUCAAUUGGUGAUUAAUUGCACUAAAGCACAAGCAUUACAUGCUCUCUCUGCUCAGUGGUUUUUUGUAUUUCACACUUUCUCUGUUCAUCUUUUAUUUAUCUAUAUAUAUUUUAUUGUAAAAGAUGCUAAUUUUUAUGUUUUGUUUAAUCUUUCAGGAUAAGUGGAGAAACCUAGUGAAAGCCUUCACGGUCAGGCCCACAUCUAAAAAUAAGAUUUUAUAUCAUAACUUUAUCAAACUCAUCAUGGAGCAGCACUGAUUUUUUCAUCUCUUGCAUUUCUUGAAUUCCAGGGAAAUGUGAAAAGAAGGAUCUCGCCUCGUCUAGAUAAGGAUUGCGUCGAAAAGAUCAAGAGGCUAGCAGCUGAUUACCCUCGAAAAUGAAGUAGCACUCGUGAAUGCU
This 499-nucleotide long non-coding RNA is filed under the name Triticum aestivum (bread wheat). RNAcentral's name for it is "long non-coding RNA (TAES_LNC018544)". The record is from RNAcentral. Lineage: Eukaryota; Viridiplantae; Streptophyta; Magnoliopsida; Poales; Poaceae.